CUCCUCCUCCUCCAGGAAGCGCGCCCCGACUGACUAGACGGACCUCCGUGCAUUCCCCGGGCUACGCCCUCGCCCGCUGAGACGGCGCUCUCCGAGCUCGGCUGCUUUGGGUUUUCGCUGCGAGCCUCGCCAACUUAUCUGCCAGCCUCUUCACGUCCUCGGCCUUCUAUGAGGUCAAGGUCAUGGUUCGCCCCCUUUUUCCUUCCCCAAAUAGUAUUUUAGCAGGGGUGACUCUGGAGAGACACCAGGUCAUCCUGCGCACCCCUUGGGACCUUUCCUAGACGCCCUCCAGCUAGAGCUCCAGUCCAGGCACUGACUCCCGGGUGGCGGGUGGAGGCUGAGGAAGAGCUGAAGGACACAGGCGGAUGUCGCCCCCGGAGCAUGGCUGCAUAGGUGGCAUGCAGGCUGGAUCCCUGAAAAGCCACCUUGCCACCCCCAGUCUCCCCCAUCUGGGAAUGCCUUGGCUUCUGCACCUGCUCCCAGCAGCUCCCAAACACCUGGUCCUUCCAACCCACUUGUUCCAGGAAAGCCUCUGGGAUGGAGGGCGCUUCCCCUUACCACAGUCUCCUCAGCGCUCCUCAAAGGACCUAACCCCUCAGCCCACUGAGGAAAGAGGAGCCCAUGACCAAGCCGCCCCUAGUCGGCUAUGGGCCCCCUCUGUCCGCUCCCUGACCGUCUCUCAAAGGAACUGGCACUGAGCCCUUCUCUGCUACACCUGUGCUCUGCCCCUGCGGUUCUGUUCCCUCGGCCUUCCUGGAGGGAACCCCUGAGGCCCACACGCCUGCUGCCUCCAGACUGACCGUUUCAGAGGCUGUUUCCUUCAGUCCUCCCACCUGCCUCCUGUCCUGUGUAGAUCGUCUGACGCUGAAGGCAAAUACUGGUGCCCCAGAUCUCCUGUCCUGUGCCCCACUGGGUCCUUACAUAGGCAGGCAGGUUGAGGGACCCAGACGCAGGCACCCACUUUCCCUCUCAUUCCCUCCCUUGGGGUCUCAGACUUUACUGGGCUGUGGACUUGAAACUGUAACCGCUGGGUUCCACAAGGCGCACUUAAC
This 1052-nucleotide long non-coding RNA is filed under the name Homo sapiens (human). RNAcentral describes it as "non-protein coding lnc-ITPA-4:3". The record is from RNAcentral. Lineage: Eukaryota; Metazoa; Chordata; Mammalia; Primates; Hominidae.